This 492-nucleotide ribosomal RNA is filed under the name uncultured bacterium. RNAcentral's name for it is "partial 16S ribosomal RNA". It matches the Rfam family "Bacterial small subunit ribosomal RNA", at positions 29 to 507 of the family's 1533-position model. The record is from RNAcentral.
AGUGAACGCUGGCGGUAGGCCUAACACAUGCAAGUCGAACGGCAGCACAGUAAGAGCUUGCUCUUACGGGUGGCGAGUGGCGGACGGGUGAGGAAUACAUCGGAAUCUACUUUUUCGUGGGGGAUAACGUAGGGAAACUUACGCUGAUACCGCAUACGACCUACGGGUGAAAGCAGGGGAUCUUCGGACCUUGCGCGAUUGAAUGAGCCGAUGUCGGAUUAGCUAGUUGGCGGGGUAAAGGCCCACCAAGGCGACGAUCCGUAGCUGGUCUGAGAGGAUGAUCAGCCACCCUGGAACUGAGACACGGUCCAGACUCCUACGGGAGGCAGCAGUGGGGAAUAUUGGACAAUGGGCGCAAGCCUGAUCCAGCCAUACCGCGUGGGUGAAGAAGGCCUCCGGGUGUUAAAGCCCUUUUGUUGGGAAAGAAAAGCAGCAGGUUAAUACCCCGCUGUUCUGACGGUACCCAAAGAAUAAGCACCGGCUAACUUCGUG